Molecule: small nuclear RNA, 60 nt
Filed under: Saimiri boliviensis boliviensis (Bolivian squirrel monkey)
Lineage: Eukaryota; Metazoa; Chordata; Mammalia; Primates; Cebidae
Description: U7 small nuclear RNA (ENSSBOG00000013135.1)
Rfam family: U7 small nuclear RNA
About the family: Animal histone pre-mRNAs are spliced by a different mechanism than nuclear pre-mRNAs and self-splicing introns. This processing involves the U7 snRNP, which contains only one RNA species: U7.
Source: Rfam by way of RNAcentral
UAGAAUUUGCUCUUUUAGAAUUUGCCUAGCAGGAUUUCCUGUCUUUUCUGGAAACCCCUC